This 63-nucleotide transfer RNA is filed under the name Ornithodoros tholozani. RNAcentral describes it as "tRNA-Leu". Lineage: Eukaryota; Metazoa; Arthropoda; Arachnida; Ixodida; Argasidae. The record is from RNAcentral.
ACUAAAUUGGCAGAUUAAUUGUGUCAAAUUUAGAAUUUGAGUAUGCUUCUUUAGCAUUUAGUA